CGGAGGGAAACCGAGUCUUAACCGGGCGUUAAGUUGCAGGGUAUAGACCCGAAACCCGGUGAUCUAGCCAUGGGCAGGUUGAAGGUUGGGUAACACUAACUGGAGGACCGAACCGACUAAUGUUGAAAAAUUAGCGGAUGACCUGUGGCUGGGGGUGAAAGGCCAAUCAAACCGGGAGAUAGCUGGUUCUCCCCGAAAGCUAUUUAGGUAGCGCCUCGUGAAUUCAUCUCCGGGGGUAGAGCACUGUUUCGGCUAGGGGGCCAUCCCGGCUUACCAACCCGAUGCAAACUGCGAAUACCGGAGAAUGUUAUCACGGGAGACACACGGCGGGUGCUAACGUCCGUCGUGAAGAGGGAAACAACCCAGACCGCCAGCUAAGGUCCCAAAGUCAUGGUUAAGUGGGAAACGAUGUGGGAAGGCCCAGACAGCCAGGAUGUUGGCUUAGAAGCAGCCAUCAUUUAAAGAAAGCGUAAUAGCUCACUGGUCGAGUCGGCCUGCGCGGAAGAUGUAACGGGGCUAAACCAUGCACCGAAGCUGCGGCAGCGACACUGUGUGUUGUUGGGUAGGGGAGCGUUCUGUAAGCCUGUGAAGGUGUGUCGUGAGGC
Molecule: ribosomal RNA, 605 nt
Filed under: Salmonella enterica subsp. enterica serovar Enteritidis
Lineage: Bacteria; Pseudomonadati; Pseudomonadota; Gammaproteobacteria; Enterobacterales; Enterobacteriaceae
Also listed under: 1 other name
Description: partial 23S ribosomal RNA
Rfam family: Bacterial large subunit ribosomal RNA
Source: RNAcentral